UUCGUCUGCUGGCCCCACCACGCCUUCGCUUAUUUACCCAUGUAUCAGCGUUUACUGGGAACCCCCUGGGCAUGCUGGGCAGCCAGCUGGCACUAAGGGCAUAAGGAUAAACACAAGGUCUCCCAGCCCAAAGAGCUCACCCUCUAGACCAGGCUGCCGACGGGUGGCCCACUUGCCUCCAGAUGUGGCCCCCAGACCUGCUUGCUUUGGUGCCCACCCCCCAUAGUUUAUAGUUGGAAAUGGCCCAGAAAAAUCUGAUUUCUGGCUUCUCUUGACAAGUCAGAAGAUCUGGCAGCUGUGGUCUGCGUUCCUACAACCAGUGGGCUGAAGAGUGGCCGCUCCUCUCCGCACCCUUGCAGAGGGCACACUCGAGCCAGUUUGCUGCGGCCCUGCCCCUCCCUAUGGUCUCGUGCCUGGUCUUCCUUGCUCAGUACCUCCCCCUCCCCAUCUGACCCCUGUAGACAUUUAAGCUGAUUUCAGUGGGAGGAGUUAGUGCGGGCCUCUCAGAGGAGGGCAGUGGGUCUUGAUCUCCUGCUAGAGGGUGUCCCCCUCCAGGUCUUCUUGUUUCCUACUCCUCAGGGUGAAUGGAUGUAUCAGAUCCUUUCCCAAGAACGGAUUUACAGCAUGUGCUGGGGGAGGGGUGCCAGUGAGGGUCGGGGGUGAGUGGGAGAUCUGAUGCUGGGAUGAUGGCACCAAGACCCAUGAAAGUGGUUUUUUUAAUUUUUGUGCUAUUUGUCGCUCCCGCGGCAUAGGGAGGUUCCCAGGCUAGGAGUAAAAUCGGAGCUGUGGCCGCCGGCCUAUGCCACAGCCACAGCACUGCCAGAUCAGAGCCAUGUCUGCAACCCACACCACAGCUCAUGGCAACGCCGGAUUCUUAACCCAUUAAGCAAGGCCAGGGAUCAGACCUGUAUCCUCAUGUAUCCCAAUCGGGUUCAUUAAUUGCCGAGCCAAGAAGGGAACUCCAGAAGUCAAAUUUGAGACCCACAAGGGAGAGGAGCCUGGAGCUUAGAGGGCAAUUGAGUCAGAUAAAUCGUGUUUUCUAGGGGCAAGACUGGGAACCCUACUUCAACAUCCAGCCCCCUGAUGGAACCUUGUUCUGAACACCACUCCCUGUUCUGGGCAGAGCUGAGGCCCCCAUCAGGCAAAGGGCAUGAGAAAUAACUUCUCCAGCUUUCCUGCCCCUGCCCCUGCACCUGGAGGAAAGGUCACCUGUGCUUUUGCCAAGUCUUGUUUUUUUCCCCCGAAUCUUUGAACUGUCACCUGGGCAGGGGGCCAACCCUAGGGAGAGGGCCAGUGGCUGGCUGGCAGGUAAGGGCCACCUUGUCUCCCCUUCACCUUCUCAGCCAGGUGGCCUGACAGUGGCUGGGCGGUGGCCAGGGGUCUGGAACCAUGGCCCUGUGCGGCGAAGGCGGAGGAUUUGUUCAAAGAGAGAUGCUUUCCUGAGUUAGGGGGCAGGGUGGGGGCUGGGGACUGCUUUUCCCUUUGGAGCUUUCAACGGUCGGGGUGGGGAAGUGCAUGCUGGGGUGUCCAGGGUGGGGCUGGGCUGUAGGGAGUGAGUAAGGAGGCAUCAUUCUCUGCAUCCUGCAAGUGGAGGGUGGUGCCCCCAAGAGGGAGCGCCUCUCUAAGAGAGCGGAGCCUAGGGAACAACCUGUAAGGCGGGGGCUCCUUCUCAGGGCUGAGAACUGGCCACCCCCAGCUCUUUUAGGAGCCUAAGAAUGAGAGCCUCCUUAAAGGAUGGCUCACUCGCUUUCCACUGGUCCCUGUCCAGCCCCUGAGAUGCGCCAGGGAUUGCAGACAAAGGAGGGGAGAAUAGGACAACAAGAGCAUUCUUGUCUCUUGGUCAAGAUCACUCACUCUUGACCUUGGCUGAGCAUUGGAAGACCCUGUGAGCUUUACAAAAUCCUGAUGUCUGGUCCCCAUCUGCAGAGAUUCUUGUUUAAUUGAUCUGGGGUGCAGCCUGCUGUUGGGAUUUUUAAAAGCUCCCCAGGGGAUUCUAGUGUGCAGCGAAGUGUGAGAACCUCUGAUCUAGACCGUGCAGGGCGAGUGCUGUUUACUGGUUUUCCUUUCAUGGGUUUUUUGUUGUGAGCAACAGACCACCAGUCUCGCCAGACUUCUAAGGGUAAUAUAAGAACACUUAGAAAAAGUGGACGGGCUAUGAGACGAGUGGAAAGAAAGCCCAGUUCCUAGUCUGUGCCAAAUACAUUGUAUUUUUAUUUAACCAUCAACUCUGGGAGGUUGAUACGCUCAGGCUCAGUUUACAGAUGAGGAGCCUGAGCGUUGUCUGUGUCUUCUGGGUCCCACUGCUGUAGGAUGGCAGAGCCGUGAAAGCAAUGGACCUGUGACGGGCAGCCAGUGGGAACGAAGUCAGUGCUGAUGCUUUCAGACACAGCAUUUCUGGGGUUGGCUGAGGGGGUGGGGCUUGGGAAAGAACUGAGCUCCUCUCUGCCUCAGAAACAUGCCACAGAGGCUUUCGAAGAUGCGGAGGGGGCAUUUAAGGUGCGGCUUGGAAGAUGCUGAAAGGUGCUAUUUAAUGGGUCACUUUAUACAAAAUAAUCAUCACACUGGCUUCCAAAGCUGGUGACAGUGCUUGCAAGCCGCUUUUUGCAGUGGUGGCAAAGCCCGCUAUGUUCUGCUGCCAGCUCUAUCUUCUUUCUCAGGGUGGGUCUCAGGAGCAGUGGGGCAGGGAGGAGAAUGGCAGGCCUGGUGUCAGGAGAGCUGGUUGGAGUCCUGCCUGGUCACUUGGUGGUCACCUUGCUUUGGGCAAGGGGCUGAGCUCCUGACUCUUGGUGUCCUGAGUCCUGAGCUUCUGAGUCUUCAUAGACAUACUGGGGAUUUCCAUCCAAGGUGGAGUAACAGGGAUUGGAUUUUCCCUUCCCCCUGAAACAAAAAACAAACCAAUAGAGCAAAUGAAACAAUGGUUUUCAAGACACUGGACAUCAGGCCACAAGUUCAGUAACCCCAGAGAGCUCGAUGAUUCUGUUUACUGCUUUGUGAGAGUUUCUAGGUCUUGGCACAGGGCAGGGGGAUGAGGCCAGGAGGGGAGAGAUGGAAAUAUACUAUUGUAAGGUUCUUCUACUCCAGGUACAGUUAUAUGAGAUCUCUUGAAGUUAGACUGUGUGUCCUGUAAAUGGUAAAGCAACCACUCAAAUAUCCCAAAGGUUAGAGUUAGUAAGCAGUUAGGUUAGUUAGUUAGUAAGAUUAGUUAGUAAGCCAGUUCAGGAGAUAAAGCAGAGUUGUCAAUAAUGCCAAAUUCAAAAAACAAAGACAAAAACAAAAC
RNAcentral lists this long non-coding RNA (3277 nucleotides) under Sus scrofa (pig). RNAcentral describes it as "lncRNA (ENSSSCG00030028379.1)". Lineage: Eukaryota; Metazoa; Chordata; Mammalia; Artiodactyla; Suidae. The record is from RNAcentral.